GUUUUAGAACUAAAAAACAGGCCAGAGAAUGCAUAUGAUCCAGCAACAUCGAACCUGGUUGCAGGUAGCAAUAUUUUUUGUGUAUUAUUGUGAAAAUGCGUUAAUUUAUCAAUCACUAUUUUGUUUUCCAUUUUGUACAGUUAUGGGUGAUGAAGAAAUGUUGCAUGUCCCUCCAGGAGUUUAGAAUAUCGUGAAAAGCCAUAUCCAACCAAGGCUUGCAUGUUUUACUUUGCUGCAUGAGUCACCUGCUGGCUUGCUGCACCAUGAGUCAAUUUGCUGCAACCAGGCCUUGCCUUUCAAAUCAAACACACUUUCAAUUCGGUGAGUUUUAGUUGAAUGAGAAAAAGGUUAUUUCUUCAUAGAUGGAAAGCACAAUCGCUACAAGCUUGUUAACCGAGACUUUUUGUUGUUGUUGUUGUUACAAGUUGCAGGGCAUUGAAACAAGUCUCAAAUUUAUUUAGGUGCUAAUGACAUUAAAUCUAUUUUACUUCCAGAAGGGACAUUUCGUGUAAAAUAGUAUGUAAACAAUCAAUACAUGUUAAAGUCAUUUGUAAUAGAUGUCCAGUAUGUGAGAAUGAUCAUGGAUACAAGCAAGCAACUUUUGUCUAUUCUUAAUUCUUAGAAGUGGUCAUUUGGUAA
Molecule: long non-coding RNA, 639 nt
Organism: Erigeron canadensis
Lineage: Eukaryota; Viridiplantae; Streptophyta; Magnoliopsida; Asterales; Asteraceae
Exons: 3
Source: RefSeq, a predicted model, not a curated record